UACGUAGGGGGCUAGCGUUGUCCGGAAUUACUGGGUGUAAAGGGUGCGUAGGCGGGCACUUAAGUCAGAUGUGAAAACCACGGGCUCAACUUGUGGACUGCAUUUGAAACUGGGUGUCUUGAGUACAGGAGAGGAAAGUGGAAUUCCUAGUGUAGCGGUGAAAUGCGUAGAUAUUAGGAGGAACACCAGUGGCGAAGGCGACUUUCUGGACUGACACUGACGCUGAGGCACGAAAGUGUGGGGAGCAAACAGG
Molecule: ribosomal RNA, 253 nt
Filed under: uncultured bacterium
Lineage: Bacteria
Description: partial 16S ribosomal RNA
Rfam family: Bacterial small subunit ribosomal RNA
Source: RNAcentral